This 465-nucleotide ribosomal RNA is filed under the name uncultured bacterium. RNAcentral's name for it is "partial 16S ribosomal RNA". It matches the Rfam family "Bacterial small subunit ribosomal RNA", at positions 338 to 795 of the family's 1533-position model. The record is from RNAcentral.
CCUACGGGUGGCAGCAGUAGGGAAUCUUCCACAAUGGGCGAAAGCCUGAUGCAGCAACGCCGCGUGGGUGAAGAAGGUCUUCGGAUCGUAAAACCCUGUUGUUAGAGAAGAAAGUGCGUGAGAGUAACUGUUCACGUUUCGACGGUAUCUAACCAGAAAGCCACGGCUAACUACGUGCCAGCAGCCGCGGUAAUACGUAGGUGGCAAGCGUUAUCCGGAUUUAUUGGGCGUAAAGGGAACGCAGGCGGUCUGUUAAGUCUGAUGUGAAAGCCUUCGGCUUAACCGGAGUAGUGCAUUGGAAACUGGGAGACUUGAGUGCAGAAGAGGAGAGUGGAACUCCAUGUGUAGCGGUGAAAUGCGUAGAUAUAUGGAAGAACACCAGUGGCGAAAGCGGCUCUCUGGUCUGUAACUGACGCUGAGGUUCGAAAGCGUGGGUAGCAAACAGGAUUAGAUACCCCAGUAGUC